AGAGUUUGAUCAUGGCUCAGGAUGAACGCUAGCGGCAGGCCUAAUACAUGCAAGUCGAACGGCAAGAGUUUUAGCAAUAGAACUUCUAGAGUGGCGAACGGGUGCGUAACGCGUAUGCAACCUACCCUAUACAGGGGGAUAGCCCGGAGAAAUCUGGAUUAAUACCCCAUGGUAUCAUUGAGCUGCAUGGUUUAAUGAUUAAAGAUUCAUCGGUAUAGGAUGGGCAUGCGUCUGAUUAGCUAGUUGGUGAGGUAACGGCUCACCAAGGCGACGAUCAGUAGGGGUUCUGAGAGGAAGGUCCCCCACACUGGCACUGAGAUACGGGCCAGACUCCUACGGGAGGCAGCAGUAGGGAAUAUUGGGCAAUGGACGAGAGUCUGACCCAGCCAUGCCGCGUGCAGGAAGACGGCGUUCUGCGUUGUAAACUGCUUUUAUCUGGGAAGAAAAUGCCCUUGCGAGGGAAAUUGCCGGUACCAGAUGAAUAAGCACCGGCUAACUCCGUGCCAGCAGCCGCGGUAAUACGGAGGGUGCAAGCGUUGUCCGGAUUUAUUGGGUUUAAAGGGUGCGUAGGCGGCUUUUUAAGUCAGUGGUGAAAGUUUUGGGCUCAACCCAGAAACUGCCAUUGAUACUGGGGAGCUUGAGUAUUGGAGGGGUACAUGGAAUUGAUGGUGUAGCGGUGAAAUGCAUAGAUACCAUCAGGAACACCGAUAGCGAAGGCAUUGUACUGGCCAAUAACUGACGCUGAUGCACGAAAGCAUGGGUAGCGAACAGGAUUAGAUACCCUGGUAGUCCAUGCCGUAAACGAUGAUUACUCGCUGUUAUGCCCUUGUGGUGUAGCGGCCAAGCGAAAGCGUUAAGUAUCCACCUGG
This 869-nucleotide ribosomal RNA is filed under the name uncultured bacterium. RNAcentral describes it as "bacterial SSU rRNA". It matches the Rfam family "Bacterial small subunit ribosomal RNA", at positions 9 to 873 of the family's 1533-position model. The record is from RNAcentral.